GUCGUGAGAUGUUGGGUUAAGUCCCGCAACGAGCGCAACCCUGCCUUUAGUUGCCAGCAGUUCGGGCUGGGCACUCUAAAGGGACUGCCGGUGUUAAACCGGAGGAAGGUGGGGAUGACGUCAAGUCCUCAUGGCCUUUAUGACCAGGGCUACACACGUACUACAAUGGCCGAUACAAAGGGCAGCGACACUGCGAGGUGAAGCCAAUCCCGUAAAAUCGGUCUCAGUCCGGAUUGGAGUCUGCAACUCGACUCCAUGAAGUUGGAAUCGCUAGUAAUCGUGGAUCAGCAUGCCACGGUGAAUACGUUCCCGGGCCUU
Molecule: ribosomal RNA, 318 nt
Filed under: uncultured Desulfobulbus sp.
Lineage: Bacteria; Pseudomonadati; Thermodesulfobacteriota; Desulfobulbia; Desulfobulbales; Desulfobulbaceae
Description: bacterial SSU rRNA
Rfam family: Bacterial small subunit ribosomal RNA
Source: RNAcentral